This is a long non-coding RNA of Branchiostoma floridae (Florida lancelet), 1988 nucleotides long. RefSeq lists it as uncharacterized. The transcript has 2 exons. The record is from RefSeq and is a predicted model, not a curated record. Lineage: Eukaryota; Metazoa; Chordata; Leptocardii; Amphioxiformes; Branchiostomatidae.
GUGUGUCUGUGUGUGUUUGUGUUUCCAGAUAUCUGUUGUAACUCAAGAGCCUCUGGAUGGAUUAUUAUGAUAUUUGGCAUGUGGUUAGGAGUUGAGGAAGAUCAAUUUUUGGCCCCCUGGUGUGUGACCUCGUUUUGUAAUGUCAUUUUCUACUAAUUCUAGGUAAAAUGUUGGUCUUGUGCAGUACAGAAUUUACGUCAAAGAAUGCUGUUAAAUAAUCCGUUAAUGCUACAGUUGAAGUGAUUUUUUAAUUGUAAGAUUUUUGCUGAUAUACAGGAUUAUUCAUAAUAGGUAUUCCAACGCUACCGCGAAAACGUCCUGCCGCAUGGCGAUCGGUAAAUUUCUUACCAUCUUCCCACCCUCGCGGCACAAAAACUAUUCACUCCUAGAGGCAUAUUUACCCAUAAAAAUAAAGCAUAUAAGUUUCUCUUUCGUGUGAUAUGUUUGUUUGGUCUGUUAAAUGUCCAAAACGCCAAAAAUUUGCCGAUGAAAACGGCGCGACGUGCGCCUUUCGGCCGGGGUUGGAAAACACGGGCCCAAAACCUCCCCCCUCCCCCAGCUCGCUACGCUGCGUUCACGGCGCUUGCGCAUCGCCGUCUUAGACCGCAGCAGAAUGAAAGUAGUGUCAUUGCAAAGAGCAGAUUACGAGCUUUAAAAUGAUACCGGUGACAGUUGUCAACUUUUAUUUUUUGCCGGUAAAAAUUCCACUUGAAGUGAUUGAUCGAUGUUUAAUUGUAAAAAUCUCCGCAAAAAUUUUAUUUUUGCCGGCUGUCACCCCUGUCCAAAUGACGACAAAAAAAUAGGCUACGUUUUGAUGUAAUCGGCAUGUCUAUUGCAUGCACGCCGGCGGAUCGCGGAGCUUGUUUUCCUGGCGAGGUCGGCCCUAGCGCCCUGUGUUUGGCCGGCCGCGCGAUCCUGACGCGCCGAAGUUCGGCCGCGCGCCUCUUACAAAUAGAAGUUAUGUGACUGAAGCGGCACAAACAGAUCCUUUUCGACGCUAUAGAGCAGGAAUUUUCAGUUUGGUAAUGGCGACCUCCAAGACAAGCCCACAUGGUACCCAGGUUCAGUCGUAGAAGAUGGUGUAGAAGCAAAUUGACACUUACUGACUUACCUUCUUCCAUCCGGUUUUGGGAAUUUAUCUAAUCUUAAUCUAUUUUAACUUCAAAUCUUCUUGAUGUAUUAUAUAGAAUUCAGUUACAUGUAUGUGUCAGUCUGAUUCUUUCUUUAUAACCACUUUAUUACAUCAUACAAAAGAACUGUAACUACAAAUCACCGUACUAGUAGUGAUGGUGUGGUACUUGGGUAGGACGUCUUCGCCGCAGAAAGAUGACCAUCAUCGUUAUGGUAGACACAAUAAUAAAACUAAAAGUUUAAUUGUUUAUUAGGAGGAAUAUUCUAUCUAAUCCCAGAUGUGGCUGAUAAAAGACUAGCAGAGAAAAAACUUGAAGAAUGUAGGUUGUAGUACCAAUAAGUAGAGCGAGAUACGCAUGUAUUGGAUGGUGUAGGACAAAUGUAAAGCUGACAAGUUAACUAGUUGUGCUGCCAAUUUAACUAAAUAAAAGUGUUAAGUUUGUUAAGAAAGCACAGAACAGUUAGUGCCACAGGAAAUGAUAAGUAGGCCUGUUUUUUUGUGCAAAACUUUGUGUACUUUCUAUGAUACAGGUGAUAAUUACUGAUUAUAAGAAUUAUCGGGAAGUAACACAUCCAAAUUCCAAGAAAUCUAACUAUGUACAUUUACAGAAAAUAGCCUGUGACCUUGAAAAAUGUUUACAUUGUCAUGAUAAAUUCAGUGUUUACAUUGUCUAUCUAUCAUUAUUUUAUCUCUUCUUCUUAUAGUACUAACAUCUGUCAUGUAUUGUGCAAGUGUGAACUUAUGCUAAUGAUGCAGUGUAACAUUGUGCCUCAUCAAAUAAUGCGAGAUGUUCAUGCAAUCUUACCUUUGACCUUGACCAAGUUGACCUUCUUAUUAAAGAAGUUACCAUUGUUGA